This 1953-nucleotide ribosomal RNA is filed under the name human gut metagenome. Its description in RNAcentral is "bacterial LSU rRNA". It matches the Rfam family "Bacterial large subunit ribosomal RNA", at positions 1 to 1980 of the family's 2925-position model. The record is from RNAcentral.
UAAAGCAAGAAAGGGCGUAUGGGGAAUGCCUAGGCACACUCCGGCGAAGAAGGACGCAGCAAACAGCGAAAUGCGACGGUGAGCGGUAAGCACGUGAAGAGCCGUCGAUAUCCGAAUGGGGGAACCCACACGGAGUCAUAUCCGUGUAUCACAUGUCGAAUACAUAGACAUGAUGAGGCGAGACGCAGGGAACUGAAACAUCUAAGUACCUGCAGGAAGAGAAAAUAAGAAUGAUUUUCUGAGUAGCGGCGAGCGAAAGGGAAAGAGCCCAAACCGAUCUUAGGAUCGGGGUAGUAGGAUCAUCGAGAAAUCUGACAGAGGAUCAUAGAGGAAUCACAUGGGAAGGUGAGCGAGAGAGGGUGAGAGCCCCGUACUCGAAAUGAGAGACUGGAGAGAGAUGACACCUGAGUAGGGCGGGACACGAGAAAUCCUGUCUGAAUCGGCCGGGACCAUCCGGCAAGGCUAAAUACGAGAGAGUGACCGAUAGUGAACCAGUACCGUGAGGGAAAGGUGAAAAGAACCCCGGGAGGGGAGUGAAAGAGAACCUGAAACCAUAUGCCUACAAGAAGUCAGAGCCCGUUAAAGGGUGAUGGCGUGCCUUUUGUAGAAUGAACCGGCGAGUUACUGUAUGGAGCGAGGUUAAGCAGGAUAUGCGGAGCCGAAGCGAAAGCGAGUCUUAAGAGGGCGAGAGUUGCAUGCAGUAGACCCGAAACCGGGUGAUCUAGCCAUGACCAGGUUGAAGUUGGGGUAAAACCCGAUGGAGGACCGAACCGACCCCCGUUGAAACGUUGGCGGAUGAGUUGUGGCUAGGGGUGAAAUUCCAAUCGAACCCGGAGAUAGCUGGUUCUCCCCGAAAUAGCUUUAGGGCUAGCGUCGAGGUAAGUUGCGUGAAGGUAGAGCACUGAAUAUGUGAUGGCCCCAUCUCGGGGUACUGAGCAUAAUCAAACUGCGAAUGUCACGCCAACAUGCUCGGCAGUCAGACAGCGGGUGAUAAGGUCCGUUGUCAAGAGGGAAACAGCCCAGACCAUCAGCUAAGGUCCCAAAAUGUAUGCUAAGUGGAAAAGGAUGUGGAGAUGUACAGACAACUAGGAGGUUGGCUCAGAAGCAGCCAUCCUUUAAAGAGUGCGUAACAGCUCACUAGUCGAAUGACUCUGCGCCGAUAAUUUACCGGGGCUAAGCAUACUACCGAAGCUAUGGAUCCCAAGGGAUGGUAGGGGAGCGUUCCAUGAACGGAGAAGUACGACCGAAAGGACGUGUGGAGAUCAUGGAAGAGAGAAUGCCGGUGUGAGUAGCGGAACGUGGGUGAGAAUCCCACGCACCGAAAACCCAAGGUUUCCAGAGGAAGGUUCGUCCGCUCUGGGUAAGUCGGGACCUAAGGCGAGGCCGAAAGGCGUAGUCGAUGGACAACAGGUAGAGAUUCCUGUACCCGUAUAUAUGUGAAGGAAUGACGGAGAGAGGAAGCUGCAGCCAGCGGCUGGAAGAGCUGGUGCAAGCGAGAUAUCGGGAUGGCAGGCAAAUCCACCAUCCGAAACGAGAAGGCGUGAAGCGUACGGAAAGCUACGGCGAGUACGGAAGGCAGUGGAGGAACUUCCAAGAAAAGUUUCUAACGUUAAGUAUAUAUGGCCCGUACCGAAAAUGGACACACAUGGGUGAGGAGAGAAUCCUAAGGUGAGCGAGAGAACUAUAGCUAAGGAACUCUGCAAAAUGACUCCGUAACUUAGGGAGAAGGAGUGCUCAUAGAGAUAUGAGCCGCAGUGAAACGGCCCAAGCGACUGUUUACCAAAAACACAGCUCUCUGCUAAGCCGCAAGGCGAAGUAUAGGGGGUGACGCCUGCCCGGUGCUGGAAGGUUAAGGGGAGGGGUUAACGCAAGUGAAGCCCUGAACUGAAGCCCCAGUAAACGGCGGCCGUAACUAUAACGGUCCUAAGGUAGCGAAAUUCCUUGUCAGGUAAG